This 451-nucleotide long non-coding RNA is filed under the name Physcomitrium patens. RNAcentral describes it as "long non-coding RNA (PPAT_LNC007233)". The record is from RNAcentral. Lineage: Eukaryota; Viridiplantae; Streptophyta; Bryopsida; Funariales; Funariaceae.
AGGGUUAAGAAUAGGAAUUUUUGGUAUUAAGGAUUUUAAUUUUGGAAGAAGAAAGAGGGCUAGGAUUGAAAAGAGUAGAAAGAAGGGUCACUGAGAAUUUUGGAGAAAAGAUAAGAUUCAAGCUUGGUUCGGGGUUUUAAAGGCCUCUUACAAAAUUUUCAUCUUUUGUUUUUUGAAAUUUUAAAGGAAGUUAGAUUAUGUUGUUAACUUUUCAAAAAGCCUUAGCAUGCAAGAAGAAGAGUUGUGACAAGAGAGAUCCAAGAAAAUUUAUGAGAAGGAGUUUGCUCGAGUUUUUGAGUUGUGAGAUUCAAGACUAAUUACGGAUUUCUAUGCUAUUUCUUGUAUUUUCUUUUUUUUUAUUCUAAAAUUUUGUAUAAAGCUAGAUUUUGUUAUUAGCUUUCCAAUAAGAUAUUUUACAUAAGAAAUAGAGCUAUGAAGAAGGAUAUCCAAA